UACCUCUUAUAAAUGGUGACUUCCAGUCAGGUGCUCAGGUCGUCACUUCCUCUUCUGCCAAUUUUUUGUUUUUAUUAUUUUGUUUUCAAUCUCUUUUAUUGGAGUUUUAUGUUAGUUUUGUUUUUGGUAGGAUUUUUCAUAUUUUCUAAUAAGGGUUUUGUACAGUAUGCAUGCUGGUUUGGUCUGUCUUUCGAUGAUUUGUUCUUUUUUUUUCGGUUGUUUUUUUUCCAUUUUAUAUAGGAAAAGGGAAAGCAAAAGGCAGAGAGAGCAAUGGAUUUAUGCAGGAAUAUUUAGGAGAAAGCCUGGAUUGCCUCUGUCUUAUGCAGAGCAAUUUGUGCUCUAAGUUGAUUCCACAUUAGAGGUUUGCUUGAAAUUGAAGGCUCUGCGGUUAUUCUCCAUUCAGAAAUAAUGAUCUAAAUUUGUGUUUGACAAGUUGAGUUGGAAGCUGAAGUCAAAGUGAUGAAUGUAAUAUACAAAAUUUGAGACAAAUUUUUCAAUAUUGAAUGGGUUACUAAAUGCAAUUUUUAAUAUCUAAAACUGGAGAAAAUGUUGCUUUUUUUAAUCAAUUGUUAAAAUUGGUAUAAAUGUAAUUUGUAAAUUUAGGCAAUUUACUGGAUAAUGUAUCUAAAACUGGAGAAGGUGUUGCAUUUUUGGAAUAGUUUCUGAAAUCGAUAGCAUCAAUAAAUGUAAUAUGUAAACUGACUUAUAAUUUAAUACCAUUAUUUUUAUUUGGAGGGGGUUGAAUUUGCCCCCUUCCUAA
This is a long non-coding RNA of Cryptomeria japonica (Japanese cedar), 760 nucleotides long. RefSeq lists it as uncharacterized. The record is from RefSeq and is a predicted model, not a curated record. NCBI's taxonomy places the organism in Eukaryota, Viridiplantae, Streptophyta, Pinopsida, Cupressales, Cupressaceae. The transcript is spliced from 2 exons.